Molecule: ribosomal RNA, 253 nt
Filed under: uncultured bacterium
Lineage: Bacteria
Description: partial 16S ribosomal RNA
Rfam family: Bacterial small subunit ribosomal RNA
Source: RNAcentral
UACGUAGGCAGCGAGCGUUGUUCGGAUUUACUGGGCGUAAAGCGUGCGUAGGCGGCGGUCCAUGUCUGGUGUGAAAUCUCCCGGCUUAACUGGGAGGGUGCGCCGGAAACUGGGCCGCUGGAGUACGGGAGAGGCAAGCGGAAUUCCAGGUGUAGCGGUGAAAUGCGUAGAUAUCUGGAGGAACACCCGUGGUGCAGACGGCUUGCUGGACCGUGACUGACGCUGAGGCACGAAAGCGUGGGUAGCAAACAGG